CAAUAGCGUAUAUUAAAGUUGUUGCGGUUAAAAAGCUCGUAGUUGGAUUUCUGUUGAGAGCAGCCGGUCUGCACUUGGUGCAUGUAUCUGGUUUGAUCUCGGCAUCCUCUCAAAAGACGUUUCUGCGCUUGAUUGCGUGGAGCGGAGUUUGGGACUUUUACUUUGAGUAAAUUAGAGUGUUCAAAGCAAGCCUACGCUCUGAAUAUAUUAGCAUGGAAUAACACGAUAGGACUCUGGCUUAUCUUGUUGGUCUGUGAGACCAGAGUAAUGAUUAAGAGGGAUAGUCGGGGACAUUCGUAUUUCAUUGUCAGAGGUGAAAUUCUUGGAUUUAUGAAAGACGAACUUCUGCGAAAGCAUUUGUCAAGGAUGUUUUCAUUAA
RNAcentral lists this ribosomal RNA (379 nucleotides) under uncultured eukaryote. Its description in RNAcentral is "partial 18S ribosomal RNA". It matches the Rfam family "Eukaryotic small subunit ribosomal RNA", at positions 592 to 976 of the family's 1831-position model. The record is from RNAcentral.